This is a long non-coding RNA of Heterocephalus glaber (naked mole-rat), 251 nucleotides long. The record is from Ensembl. NCBI's taxonomy places the organism in Eukaryota, Metazoa, Chordata, Mammalia, Rodentia, Bathyergidae.
GCCAGCGUGAGUUCCACUGGAGCGAAACUGAGGCUGAGCUGGGUCGCAGGCAGCACAGCUAGUGAGAGGCGGAAUCACAGUCUCCAGCCCCGUGAGCAAGUCGAGAGAGACCAGCGGGGGCGAGGUCUUGUCUUCCUUCGCUGGCCUCCUGGAGUGACCUGAAGCUGCAGGAAAAGGCAUUCAAUGCCUUAAUGGCCCUCUGGGUUCCAGAGAGAGAGAGGUCUCAGAUCUUGCAGAAGGUCCAACUAACU